RNAcentral lists this ribosomal RNA (253 nucleotides) under uncultured bacterium. Its description in RNAcentral is "partial 16S ribosomal RNA". It matches the Rfam family "Bacterial small subunit ribosomal RNA", at positions 524 to 776 of the family's 1533-position model. The record is from RNAcentral.
UACAGAGGGUGCGAGCGUUAAUCGGAAUUACUGGGCGUAAAGGGCGCGUAGGUGGAUUGGUAAGUCGUAUGUGAAAGGCCCGGGCUUAACCUGGGAAUUGCAUGUGAUACUGUUGGUCUAGAGUAGGGUAGAGGGAAGUGGAAUUUCCGGUGUAGCGGUGAAAUGCGUAGAUAUCGGAAGGAACAUCGGUGGCGAAGGCGGCUUCCUGGACUCAUACUGACGCUGAAGCGCGAAAGCGUGGGGAGCAAACAGG